GAGUUUGAUCGUGGCUCAGAUUGAACGCUGGCGGAAUGCUUUACACAUGCAAGUCGAGCGGCAGCGCGGGGCAACCUGGCGGCGAGCGGCGAACGGGUGAGUAAUGCAUCGGAACAUGUCCAUGUCGUGGGGGAUAGCCCGGCGAAAGCCGGAUUAAUACCGCAUACGCCCGAGAGGGGAAAGUGGGGGACCGCAAGGCCUCACGCGAUUGGGUUGGCCGAUGUCCGAUUAGCUAGUUGGUGGGGUAAAGGCCUACCAAGGCGAUGAUCGGUAGCUGGUCUGAGAGGAUGAUCAGCCACACUGGGACUGAGACACGGCCCAGACUCCUACGGGAGGCAGCAGUGGGGAAUUUUGGGACAAUGGGGGCAACCCUGAUCCAGCGACGCCGCGUGUGUGAAGAAGGCCUGCGGGUUGUAAAGCACUUUUAGUGGGGAUGAAAAGCCGAAGGGCUAAUACUCUUCGGUCUUGACCUAACCCAAAGAAAAAGCAACCGGCUAACUCUGUGCCAGCAGCCGCCGUAAAU
RNAcentral lists this ribosomal RNA (523 nucleotides) under uncultured beta proteobacterium. RNAcentral describes it as "bacterial SSU rRNA". It matches the Rfam family "Bacterial small subunit ribosomal RNA", at positions 9 to 525 of the family's 1533-position model. Lineage: Bacteria; Pseudomonadati; Pseudomonadota; Betaproteobacteria. The record is from RNAcentral.